This 249-nucleotide ribosomal RNA is filed under the name uncultured Actinomycetales bacterium. RNAcentral describes it as "partial 16S ribosomal RNA". It matches the Rfam family "Bacterial small subunit ribosomal RNA", at positions 84 to 334 of the family's 1533-position model. Lineage: Bacteria; Bacillati; Actinomycetota; Actinomycetes; Actinomycetales. The record is from RNAcentral.
GGGGUGCUCGAGUGGCGAACGGGUGAGUAACACGUGAGUAACCUGCCCUUGACUUUGGGAUAACUUCAGGAAACUGGGGCUAAUACCGGAUAGGAGCUCCUGCUGCAUGGUGGGGGUUGGAAAGUUUCGGCGGUUGGGGAUGGACUCGCGGCUUAUCAGCUUGUUGGUGGGGUAGUGGCUUACCAGGGCUUUGACGGGUAGCCGGCCUGAGAGGGUGACCGGCCACAUUGGGACUGAGAUACGGCCCAG